RNAcentral lists this ribosomal RNA (344 nucleotides) under uncultured bacterium. RNAcentral's name for it is "bacterial SSU rRNA". It matches the Rfam family "Bacterial small subunit ribosomal RNA", at positions 32 to 368 of the family's 1533-position model. The record is from RNAcentral.
AAUCAACGCUGGCGGCGUGCCUCAGACAUGCAAGUCGAACGAUUAAACUUUCCUUCGGGAAAGAUAUAAAGUGGCGCACGGGUGAGUAACACGUAGGUAAUGUACCUUUGGGUGGGGAAUAACUUAGGGAAACUUAAGCUAAUACCGCAUAAUGCAGCGGCUCCUUCGGGAGACAGUUGUUAAAGAUUUAUCGCCUAAAGAGCAGCCUGCGGCAGAUUAGCUAGUUGGUAAGGUAACGGCUUACCAAGGCGACGAUCUGUAUCCGACCUGAGAGGGUGGUCGGACACACUGACACUGAAUAACGGGUCAGACUCCUACGGGAGGCAGCAGUCGGGAAUUUUGGG